This 2908-nucleotide ribosomal RNA is filed under the name Salmonella enterica subsp. enterica serovar Typhimurium. Its description in RNAcentral is "23S ribosomal RNA". It matches the Rfam family "Bacterial large subunit ribosomal RNA". The record is from RNAcentral. Lineage: Bacteria; Pseudomonadati; Pseudomonadota; Gammaproteobacteria; Enterobacterales; Enterobacteriaceae.
GGUUAAGCGACUAAGCGUACACGGUGGAUGCCCUGGCAGUCAGAGGCGAUGAAGGGCGUGCUAAUCUGCGAUAAGCGCCGGUAAGGUGAUAUGAACCGUUAUAACCGGCGAUACCCGAAUGGGGAAACCCAGUGUGAUUCGUCACACUAUCAUUAACUGAAUCCAUAGGUUAAUGAGGCGAACCGGGGGAACUGAAACAUCUAAGUACCCCGAGGAAAAGAAAUCAACCGAGAUUCCCCCAGUAGCGGCGAGCGAACGGGGAGGAGCCCAGAGCCUGAAUCAGCAUGUGUGUUAGUGGAAGCGUCUGGAAAGGCGCGCGAUACAGGGUGACAGCCCCGUACACAAAAGCGCAUGUGCUGUGAGCUCGAUGAGUAGGGCGGGACACGUGGUAUCCUGUCUGAAUAUGGGGGGACCAUCCUCCAAGGCUAAAUACUCCUGACUGACCGAUAGUGAACCAGUACCGUGAGGGAAAGGCGAAAAGAACCCCGGCGAGGGGAGUGAAAAAGAACCUGAAACCGUGUACGUACAAGCAGUGGGAGCACAGGUUUACCUGUGUGACUGCGUACCUUUUGUAUAAUGGGUCAGCGACUUAUAUUCUGUAGCAAGGUUAACCGUAUAGGGGAGCCGGAGGGAAACCGAGUCUUAAUUGGGCGUUAAGUUGCAGGGUAUAGACCCGAAACCCGGUGAUCUAGCCAUGGGCAGGUUGAAGGUUGGGUAACACUAACUGGAGGACCGAACCGACUAAUGUUGAAAAAUUAGCGGAUGACCUGUGGCUGGGGGUGAAAGGCCAAUCAAACCGGGAGAUAGCUGGUUCUCCCCGAAAGCUAUUUAGGUAGCGCCUCGUGAAUUCAUCUCCGGGGGUAGAGCACUGUUUCGGCUAGGGGGCCAUCCCGGCUUACCAACCCGAUGCAAACUGCGAAUACCGGAGAAUGUUAUCACGGGAGACACACGGCGGGUGCUAACGUCCGUCGUGAAGAGGGAAACAACCCAGACCGCCAGCUAAGGUCCCAAAGUCAUGGUUAAGUGGGAAACGAUGUGGGAAGGCCCAGACAGCCAGGAUGUUGGCUUAGAAGCAGCCAUCAUUUAAAGAAAGCGUAAUAGCUCACUGGUCGAGUCGGCCUGCGCGGAAGAUGUAACGGGGCUAAACCAUGCACCGAAGCUGCGGCAGCGACGCUGAUGCGUUGUUGGGUAGGGGAGCGUUCUGUAAGCCUGCGAAGGUGACCUGUGAGGGUUGCUGGAGGUAUCAGAAGUGCGAAUGCUGACAUAAGUAACGAUAAAGCGGGUGAAAAGCCCGCUCGCCGGAAGACCAAGGGUUCCUGUCCAACGUUAAUCGGGGCAGGGUGAGUCGACCCCUAAGGCGAGGCCGAAAGGCGUAGUCGAUGGGAAACGGGUUAAUAUUCCCGUACUUGGUGUUACUGCGAAGGGGGGACGGAGAAGGCUAUGUUGGCCGGGCGACGGUUGUCCCGGUUUAAGCGUGUAGGUGUGUGUUCCAGGUAAAUCCGGUUCACUUUAACACUGAGGCGUGACGACGAGGCACUACGGUGCUGAAGCAACAAAUGCCCUGCUUCCAGGAAAAGCCUCUAAGCAUCAGGUAACACGAAAUCGUACCCCAAACCGACACAGGUGGUCAGGUAGAGAAUACCAAGGCGCUUGAGAGAACUCGGGUGAAGGAACUAGGCAAAAUGGUGCCGUAACUUCGGGAGAAGGCACGCUGACACGUAGGUGAAGUGAUUUACUCAUGGAGCUGAAGUCAGUCGAAGAUACCAGCUGGCUGCAACUGUUUAUUAAAAACACAGCACUGUGCAAACACGAAAGUGGACGUAUACGGUGUGACGCCUGCCCGGUGCCGGAAGGUUAAUUGAUGGGGUCAGCGCAAGCGAAGCUCCUGAUCGAAGCCCCGGUAAACGGCGGCCGUAACUAUAACGGUCCUAAGGUAGCGAAAUUCCUUGUCGGGUAAGUUCCGACCUGCACGAAUGGCGUAAUGAUGGCCAGGCUGUCUCCACCCGAGACUCAGUGAAAUUGAACUCGCUGUGAAGAUGCAGUGUACCCGCGGCAAGACGGAAAGACCCCGUGAACCUUUACUAUAGCUUGACACUGAACAUUGAGCCUUGAUGUGUAGGAUAGGUGGGAGGCUUUGAAGUGUGGACGCCAGUCUGCAUGGAGCCGACCUUGAAAUACCACCCUUUAAUGUUUGAUGUUCUAACGUGGACCCGUAAUCCGGGUUGCGGACAGUGUCUGGUGGGUAGUUUGACUGGGGCGGUCUCCUCCUAAAGAGUAACGGAGGAGCACGAAGGUUGGCUAAUCCUGGUCGGACAUCAGGAGGUUAGUGCAAUGGCAUAAGCCAGCUUGACUGCGAGCGUGACGGCGCGAGCAGGUGCGAAAGCAGGUCAUAGUGAUCCGGUGGUUCUGAAUGGAAGGGCCAUCGCUCAACGGAUAAAAGGUACUCCGGGGAUAACAGGCUGAUACCGCCCAAGAGUUCAUAUCGACGGCGGUGUUUGGCACCUCGAUGUCGGCUCAUCACAUCCUGGGGCUGAAGUAGGUCCCAAGGGUAUGGCUGUUCGCCAUUUAAAGUGGUACGCGAGCUGGGUUUAGAACGUCGUGAGACAGUUCGGUCCCUAUCUGCCGUGGGCGCUGGAGAACUGAGGGGGGCUGCUCCUAGUACGAGAGGACCGGAGUGGACGCAUCACUGGUGUUCGGGUUGUCAUGCCAAUGGCACUGCCCGGUAGCUAAAUGCGGAAGAGAUAAGUGCUGAAAGCAUCUAAGCACGAAACUUGCCCCGAGAUGAGUUCUCCCUGAGACUUAGAGUCUCCUGAAGGAACGUUGAAGACGACGACGUUGAUAGGCCGGGUGUGUAAGCGCAGCGAUGCGUUGAGCUAACCGGUACUAAUGAACCGUGAGGCUUAACCUU